CAACCUCUACGGGAAGACCAGAGUUUUAAAUUACGCCAUAAAAACAUACGAAGACCACGCUUUGUCUAAUAGGCAACAGCAGAUUAUAUGUUGCAGUGAAAUUCAUUGCUGCAUCCUUCUCCGUCACUUAAAACGCAUCGGGCAGUUUUCAAUAAGAAUUCAGCUUUGCGGGCUACAAUGGAUGCGUGAAAAUUGACAGACAUAGCAGAUAACCAAUAGAGGGACAGACUGCGUCCAGAUUCAUGUUACUUCUAUCAAUCGGAACACGGGGUGGGAGGAACUGUUUUCCUCAGUUUCUGAUUGAAUCAGCCCAGUUCCAAUUAGUUGCGAAGAUAUGACACAAUAGAACGAGCGGAUAUGGAUGAAAACAAAACACUUCUAGAUUGGAACUAAGCUGGCGAUUCUCCUUUCGGCAAAAUAUGGAAUGAAAUGGAAGCCAUCACACGGUUUAUUGAGUGUGGAUACCUCUGUCUACUUCAGCGAAAUAGGGGGAGAGCCAAAGGAUUCAUCUGCACCAAGGCCGGGUCCUUCCGCUAGGCCCAUAGCCAACCCGUUCCCCGACACCAGCUGCUCCAAAAGCAGGGGAUGAGACCAAAGACACUAUCAACACUGUCUAGAGGCUCAGGUAAAUUGAAACAAGUAAAACCCCACACCUUUGAUUCAAUGAGUUGCCUGAUGGGCGCUUUUUGUGAUUUCAAAGGGCCAGUUCUCAGCCCAUGUCACAGGUGGGCCAUAUGCGUUAAGGCCUGUGGUUCCGAACCGAUGAAAGGCCCAGCGGAGCAUUCUUUCUGGGCCUGCAUUUCAUUUCAAUUUCCAUAUGAAUGUUCUGGGCCACUUAGCUAUCCCCAGUUCCCCCUCCCAGACCUGGCGAUAAUAUUGUCAAUGUCAUUACGGUGGGAAGAGCAGAACAAAGGCCCUUCUUAUUUAAGUGAAGAGGGAGCUUGAAGGUCAAACAGGAAGAUCAAACGGAGAUGAGAAACAGAGUGCAUGCAGCACGGGGAGUGUUCUUCAAUUCAAAACAUGAAGCCUUUUUUUCCAGCAGAUCAAAAGACUUUGAAAUGUUUACAUUCAUCAUGGACACGGACGAAAGCAUGUGGACAAUGGACACCUGGCCAUGUUUUGUAUGAUGGUGCAGUGCAGGGUAUGCCUGGCCUUUUCUUUUCUUUUUUGCCUGGUUCUCCUAACUGUUUACUUACUUAUUUACUGGCAGCAGUAUGAAAGUAUGGUUUAAGAUAAAUGGACAAUUUAGUAUUGUUACACAAGAUUUUGUCACAGAGUCACUUUGCUCUGAACUGAUAAUUGCUCUGUUGUGGCUUUAUUUUAGGGCAUGAAUCUCAGAGGCAUAAGUAACAAGGCUUGACAUAAUCAUAAUCCCUUUGGGCUGAGAUCUUUCUCUGCCUGUAAUUGACACUGGUGAUGGGGCUGCAUAGCUUCGUCUGGAAGGUGAAACUUGACUUGAGAUCUGAUCUGUGAAAGCUCUGAGGACUUACCAAUAUUAGCAUGUAACAGUGCACUCUGUCUGAGUCAGGAGUCUGAUUCAAGAUUGAUGACUGAUUGAUGGUUACAGAUUGGACACAAGGAACGAAACAUUUUGAGAGGUGCAGGAGUGUAUGUAGCUAUACAGAGCACCACCAUCAAUGAGGUGAGCUUAUAUUCUAACAGAAUCAUACAUUUGGACACCAACUCAGCACUUAUGACACUCUGCAACCACACUAAUAAUUAAGACAUGUACUGUAAGCCACAAUAAUUCAAGUGUUACUGUUUAACAACCAAAUAAUUACCUCUGACUUUGUAUUGCGAAUGAAUGGUGUUCUUUAGACCAGCAUUGUUUCAGCAACUCAAAACAAAAGAUUUUAAUGAAUAUUCAUGAAAGAGAACAUUUUGUGUCUGCCCUGAUAGGGAAUACUUGUGUAUGUUUACCCAAGUUAUUUUUGUGCAUGUGUGUGUCACAUGGUACAUGUGAAUCAAGAAUUAAAACUUACGUUGUA
Long non-coding RNA from Anguilla rostrata (American eel), 1988 nucleotides. RefSeq lists it as uncharacterized. NCBI's taxonomy places the organism in Eukaryota, Metazoa, Chordata, Actinopteri, Anguilliformes, Anguillidae. The record is from RefSeq and is a predicted model, not a curated record. The transcript has 2 exons.